This 484-nucleotide ribosomal RNA is filed under the name uncultured bacterium. RNAcentral describes it as "partial 16S ribosomal RNA". It matches the Rfam family "Bacterial small subunit ribosomal RNA", at positions 30 to 507 of the family's 1533-position model. The record is from RNAcentral.
AUUGAACGCUGGCGGCAUGCUUUACACAUGCAAGUCGAACGGUAACAGGGUGCUUGCACCGCUGACGAGUGGCGAACGGGUGAGUAAUGCAUCGGAAUGUACCGUGUAUUGGGGGAUAGCUCGGCGAAAGCCGGAUUAAUACCGCAUACGCCCUGAGGGGGAAAGUGGGGGACCGAAAGGCCUCACGUUAUACGAGCAGCCGAUGUCUGAUUAGCUAGUUGGUGAGGUAAAGGCUCACCAAGGCGUCGAUCAGUAGCGGGUCUGAGAGGAUGAUCCGCCACACUGGAACUGAGACACGGCCCAGACUCCUACGGGAGGCAGCAGUGGGGAAUUUUGGACAAUGGGCGAAAGCCUGAUCCAGCCAUGCCGCGUGUGUGAAGAAGGCCUUCGGGUUGUAAAGGACUUUUGUCCGGGAGGAAAUCCUAGUGGUUAAUAACCGCUGGGUCUGAGAGUACCGGAAGAAUAAGCACCGGCUAACUACGUG